This 478-nucleotide ribosomal RNA is filed under the name uncultured bacterium. RNAcentral describes it as "partial 16S ribosomal RNA". It matches the Rfam family "Bacterial small subunit ribosomal RNA", at positions 28 to 507 of the family's 1533-position model. The record is from RNAcentral.
GAUGAACGCUGGCGGCGUGCCUAACACAUGCAAGUCGAACGGAGUCCAGCCUUUAAGACCUUCGGGUCAAAGGGGGGAAGACUGAGUGGCGGACGGGUGAGUAACACGUGGGCAACCUGGCUCAUAGAGGGGGAUAACAGAGAGAAAUUUCUGCUAAUACCGCAUAAGCACACACUGCCGCAUGGCAGAGGGUGAAAAGAGAAUCGCUAUGAGAUGGACCCGCGUCUGAUUCGCCAGUUGGCAGGGUAAGAGCCUACCAAAGCGACGAUCAGUAGCCGAUCUGAGAUGCUGAGCCGCCACAUUGGGACUGAGACACGGCCCAAACUCCUACGGGAUGCAGCAGUGGGGGAUAUUGCACAAUGGGGUGAACCCUGAUGCAGCGACGCCGCGUGAGUGAAGAAGUAUUUCGGUAUGUAAAGCUCUAUCAGCAGGGAAGAUAAUGACAGUACCUGAAGAAGAAGCCCCGGCUAACUACGUG